RNAcentral lists this long non-coding RNA (2770 nucleotides) under Phaseolus vulgaris (common bean). Its description in RNAcentral is "long non-coding RNA (PVUL_LNC003324)". Lineage: Eukaryota; Viridiplantae; Streptophyta; Magnoliopsida; Fabales; Fabaceae. The record is from RNAcentral.
UUUAUUUAUAGGUAUGUAGGUAUAAGCUGAAAAUAGAUAUAGGAUUGUGACACACAUCAUGACAUGUUUAGAUAUAUUGAUAAAAUUAUUUCAACACAUUAAGUAUAAAAUUUAGUAACACACUUUACAUUAAAAGAACCUUUAGCUUUUUCAAAAAACCAUAGGUUAUAAAUUGAGAUGAUUGAGAUUCAUUGUUCUCACAAAUAUUCAUAAUGAAUUACUUUAGUGUUUUGUUUUUGGUCUUUUUAUUCUUCCAUGGUUAUGCUCAAGCUUUUGACUAUUGGAAGAUUUCACAAUUUGGGCCAAGAGGCCUUUGUCAUGGUAGUCCUUCAUGUCUGAAAACAAAACCAAAACCAUUGGAGUUCACUAUACAUGGUUUAUGGCCAUCUAACUGGAAAGGACCACUUUCCUGCACACAAGAACAAUUCAAUCUUUCUCUGGUAAGAUUUCUAUUUCUUAAUAAUAGUAUUUUGAUAUAAUACUGGAAAGUGAUAUUCUUUGUUUAUUUUAUUAGAUAACAAAAGACUUAGAUGCUCACCUUAAACAAGUUUGGCCAAGUUAUUAUGCUAAUGGUGAUGUAAAGUUUUGGAAGCACGAGUGGAAGGAUCAUGGAACGUGCUCUAACCUGCAACAAUUUGAUUUCUUCACAUUGAGCAUAGAUAUCUACGAAAGGAACAAUCUGACAUAUACUUAAAAAUGCAGGUAUAGUAAAUGGUAAAAGAUAUAAUAGAAAUAUUAUCAGCUUAGCCAUAGGCAGAGCAUUGCAUGUUCAACCACAACUAAUCUGUAAAUCUACUUCUAAAUCUACUGUGUCUAUUCUAACUGAAAUAAGGAUCUGUUUAGACAAAAGCAGAAUCCCCCAGUAGAUCAGUUGUGCUCCACCAUCACCACUAGUAGCUUGUGCUAACUCUAUAGACUUUAUUUAAUAAUAUAUAAUAUAAUAUAACUAAUUAAUGAAUAAUUCAAAUAUUAAAUACACAUAUCUACAAUUAUAUGUUAUAGCUUUUCUGUUGGGACUCGGUAUGCUACCCUCCCUAUGUUAUGUUAUCUUCUACGUCACUCAUAAAUAAAGACUUCAGUUCUAUACUUCUAUUCUGUUGCAUAUAUAUCUUUUUCUUCUUUAAUUUGUGUUUAUUAUUCAGUUCACUAUUCAGUUCUAUACUCAUAAAUUUGAACUUUCUUCAUACAUUAACAUUAACUAUGAUUCGUAUAAGUAUCAUAACUAUGAUUACUUCCAACAUUAACAUUUCAAAGUUGAGAAUGCGGUUUCUGCAAAUUGGUUCACUGAGUCCUCCCAUUUGCAACUUCAAGUUGGUUCUGAAUGACAAACAACAAUUAAUUUAAAUGUGAAAGAUACUUAAUACUCACUGUAUCUUACAAAAUUGAUUUCAUAUGCAGAGAUUUUUAAUAUUAUCAAGAAGACAACAUUUUACUGACUUUUUUUCAUUGUAAAAAAAAUUAUGAUGUCAAUCAACAUAAAAUAAAGCAUCCUUAGUUUGUUCCCGUUUCCAUAUUCCCAAGCCUGAAUUUUAUUUCAAUACUAAAUUCAUUAAAUUUACUCAAUAAUAUGAGAAAAUAUUAUAAUCUGUAAAUGAUUUUGUGAAAUAAAAUUUAUAUGGGAACCCUUUAAACUUUGUGUAAAUUUUAGUUAAAGAAGCUAUGUAUAACUUACUGGUGAAACAGUUCAAGGGUUUUGAGAGACAUGAAACAAACUCUCUCGGACUUGCAAAUAUCUCUAUGAUUCCCCCUGCUUGUUUUGAUUGAAAGGCAUGUAUAUUUAAACAUGUAAAUUAUUAAGCUAAUAACUUGCGUUUGCAUAAUAAGAAUACACAUAUUUUGGAAAUGAUCUUCAUAAAACCAUUACUAUUGAAGUGAACAAAUGGAAUGGCAUUUCAAAGAGCAAAUUAAUGGUAAUCACACCCCAUGUUUCAGAGCAAGCUUUGGCGAAAUUUGUGCCCUCAAGUUAUCCCAGUCAAUCCCUUGGACGAAUUUGCAAAAGUGCCAUGGAAUUAAUGAAAGUGAAUAAAAACUACGAAAAAGUCCUAAGCCUUACAACCAAUACAAAAUCAAUGGAUAAAGGUUAGAGGAAUGAAAUUGAACAUUGCUACUCCCAAAUUAACAAAAAAAUACUUGCAAAAUUCAUCCCGUCAAAAUCCAUAUAAGACAAAAACUCAAUAAAAAAACAAAAAGCAAAGAACAAGAGAGAUAAAAAUAUUAACUUUUUUCUCUCUGUUCAUAAAAUGCAAAGAACCCAUAAGAACAAAAACUACAUCAGAACCACUAAAUUUAUGAGAUUCCCAAAUGCAAAACAAAAACUACAAAGAAAAGGUGAAGAACACAAGCUUCUUUACCAUCUUAUUUUGCAAAUUAAAUGAAAAAUUGAAACAUUUUUUUUCCAAUUCUAAUUAAAAAGGUGGAGUUGAGGAAGAACCAAAAGAGCGAGGAGGAGAACAAACCUAAAACAACUGAAUCCGACCAAUCCACGACCUUGCGAUUUGAGCUUCACAUAAGGCUCCAACGACACGCUUGAAACCGCAUGGAUUAGGUUUUCUCUUAAUGGCCAAAUUCGCAAUACCGUCGCGUUGCUGAAAGCAGAUAGUAAAUUUUUAGGAUUCAAAGAAAGAAAUGAAAGGGUUUAGGGUUUCGAAAGAGAAGAAAUAGACGGGGUUUCAAAGAUAUGCGAAAUAGAAUCUUUUGGGGGUAAUUUAUUUUUCGGAAAUGUUUCGGAGGGAAUUGGGAAAAUUAUGUUUGGAGAAAAGAAAAAUAUUAU